CCUACGGGAGGCAGCAGUGGGGAAUAUUGCACAAUGGGGGAAACCCUGAUGCAGCGACGCCGCGUGAGUGCAGAAGUAUUUCGGUAUGUAAAGCUCUAUCAGCAGGGAAGAAAAUGACGGUACCUGAUUAAGAAGCACCGGCUAACUACGUGCCAGCAGCCGCGGUAAUACGUAGGGGGCAAGGGUUACGCGGAUUUACUGGGUGUAAAGGGAGCGUAGCCGGUGAUGCAAGUCAGAAGUGAAAGCCCGGGGCUCAACGCCGGGACUGCUUUGGAAACUGUGUGACUGGAGUGAAGGAGAGGUAAGCGGAAUUCCUGGUGUAGCGGUGAAAUGCGUAGAUAUCAGGAGGAACACCAGUGGCGAAGGCGGCUUACUGGACUGUAACUGACGUUGAGGCUCGAAAGCGUGGGGAGCAAACAGGAUUAGAGACCCGGGUAGUC
This 440-nucleotide ribosomal RNA is filed under the name uncultured bacterium. RNAcentral's name for it is "partial 16S ribosomal RNA". It matches the Rfam family "Bacterial small subunit ribosomal RNA", at positions 338 to 795 of the family's 1533-position model. The record is from RNAcentral.